UAUAAUUUACUUGAUCUUGAUUAUCCUACUUGGAUAACUGUGGUAAUUCUAGAGCUAAUACAUGCACCAAAGCUCCGACUUACGAACGAGCGCAUUUAUUAGACCAAAACCAAUCGGGCUUCGGCUCGUUUGUUGGUGACUCUGAAUAACUAAGCUGAUCGCACGGUCUCGCACCGGCGACAUGUCUUUCAAGUAUCUGCCUUAUCAACUUUCGAUGGUAGUUUAUGUGCCUACCAUGGUUGUAACGGGUAACGGAGAAUAAGGGUUCGACUCCGGAGAGGGAGCCUGAGAAACGGCUACCACAUCCAAGGAAGGCAGCAGGCGCGCAAAUUACCCACUCUCGGCACGAGGAGGUAGUGACGAAAAAUAACGAGACCGUUCUCUAUGAGGCCGGUUAUCGGAAUGGGUACAAUUUAAACCCUUUAACGAGGAUCUAUGAGAGGGCAAGUCUGGUGCCAGCAGCCGCGGUAAUUCCAGCUCUCAAAGUGUAUAUCGCCAUUGCUGCGGUUAAAAAGCUCGUAGUUGGAUCUGCGCCUCAGGACUCGGUCCGCCCACUGGGUGUGAACUGGGAUCCUAGGCUAAUACUGCUGGUUUUCCCUUCGUGGCCUUCACUGGUUGCGUUGAGUGGCUAGCGAGUUUACUUUGAAAAAAUUAGAGUGCUUAAAACAGGCUAUUGUCUGAAUAUUCGUGCAUGGAAUAAUAGAAUAGGACCUCGGUUCUAUUUUGUUGGUUUUCUGAACUGCGAUAAUGGUUAAGAGGGACAGACGGGGGCAUUCGUAUCGCUGCGUGAGAGGUGAAAUUCUUGGACCGCAGCGAGACGCCCUACUGCGAAAGCAUUUGCCAAGAAUGUCUUCAUUAAUCAAGAACGAAAGUCAGAGGUUCGAA
RNAcentral lists this ribosomal RNA (885 nucleotides) under Seuratascaris sp. n. YL-2019. RNAcentral's name for it is "SSU rRNA". It matches the Rfam family "Eukaryotic small subunit ribosomal RNA", at positions 111 to 1002 of the family's 1831-position model. Lineage: Eukaryota; Metazoa; Nematoda; Chromadorea; Rhabditida; Ascarididae. The record is from RNAcentral.